RNAcentral lists this long non-coding RNA (1196 nucleotides) under Olea europaea subsp. europaea. The record is from RNAcentral. Lineage: Eukaryota; Viridiplantae; Streptophyta; Magnoliopsida; Lamiales; Oleaceae.
CAAAUAUGCUAGUUGAAUCAUUUGCUAAAUGAGAAAUUUUUGCAGAUAAGGAUCGAGGUAGAUUGUUGGAUUGGGAAAAGCGGUUUCAAAUUAUCAAUGGAAUUGCUCGUGGAUUACUUUAUCUUCACCAAGACUCCCGAUUGAGAAUCAUUCAUAGAGAUCUAAAGGCUGGAAACAUUUUGUUGGAUGCUGAUAUGAACCCGAAAAUAUCAGACUUCGGCAUGGCGAGAAGUUUUGGAGGGAAUGAAAUUGAAGCAAACACACGAAGGGUUGUCGGUACAUAGUAAGGAUUCCAACAUAAGUUAUGCAUGCUUGACUUGUUUGAUGAGUUAGGUUGCACACUGGACAAUAUUAUUAAAGAAGAAUAAGUUGAAUCUUGUCUUUAUACUGUUGAGUUCUGGAUACUAAACAUUAUCUAAGCUCUCUUUUCUUUCUUUAAAUGACAAAAUCUCAAUAUAAUUGUUGUUUUGCAGUGGCUAUAUGUCACCCGAAUAUGUGGUUGAUGGUCACUUCUCAGUCAAAUCUGACAUAUUCAGCUUUGGUGUCCUCAUUCUGGAAAUCAUAAGCGGACAAAAGAACAGAGGAUUUUUUCAUCAAGAUCACCAUCACAAUUUGCUUGGACAUGUAAGUUUUUGGUUUCUUACUUUAAUUCUUCCAACAUUCUUAACUCCUCAAAUUCUUACAUCUAACUUUGAUUCUUUCCACUCAUCAAUUAGGCAUGGAUUCUACACAAUGAAGGACGAUCUCUAGAAUUAAUCGACUCACAUUUAGCUCAAUCGUGCUACUUGUCUGAAGUACUUCGAUCAAUGCAUGUCGCUCUAUUAUGUGUACAGAGAAAUCCUGAAGAUCGGCCAAAUAUGUCGAAUGUUGUCCUAAUGUUGGCAAGUGCAGGGGCAUUGCCUAAGCCUAAAGAGCCCGGUUUUUUCACAGAAAGAAAUUCAUUUCUUGGAUUUGAAACUUCAUCAAGUAAGCCUACGGUAAGUUCUGCCAAUGAAUUGAGCUUCACGGAAAUGGAAGGUAGAUAAAAAUAUAUAAAGAAUUAGUGCCAUAAAUGCAUAUAUUACUCAUUUAUAUUAAAAUUUUCAUUCAACGAAAACAUUUUAUCGAUCUAUGUCUUUUAUCAAUUUAUGUCUUUUAUGAAUUUCUAGCGUUUCUUCAAUUUUUUGGUCUUAAAAUUUAUUUAUGUAUGAUCUAAU